Long non-coding RNA from Teleopsis dalmanni, 1007 nucleotides. RefSeq lists it as uncharacterized. The transcript is spliced from 4 exons. NCBI's taxonomy places the organism in Eukaryota, Metazoa, Arthropoda, Insecta, Diptera, Diopsidae. The record is from RefSeq and is a predicted model, not a curated record.
UAUAAGAUAAUAAAAACUUUCAUUUUAAUGAGCAAAAUCAACAUGUAAAAAGAAUUGUGCAGUUGUGACUGUUUAUUUAAAUAAAAAAUUUAAAAUACAUUUGGCUCAAGAACAGGAGCAAGAAAUUCUGCAACAGAGGGUCAAUCGAAGAAACUUGCGAAACGCUGCAAAUCCACUUGAGUUGCCUGAUUCUUUAAAUGUUACAGAAUGAAUAAACCAGCAUUUAUUUACCUGUUAGAGGAACUUACUGCAAAGAAGCAAUUUGCAGUUUCUUCAAUUGUGAAAUUGAGCGGUUGUUUGCGUUUCUUUGCUGAAAGAGCUUAUCAGACAGGUUUUAGGAAAGACCACAAUAUCGCCCUAUCUCAGCCUAUUUUCAGUGCUUUCUGAAGUUGUAAAUAUUUUUGGAACUAACUUAUGUCCAAAAUGGAUGAAGGUUCCAAAGACAUCUGAGGAAAAAAGGAAAAUAGCUUUAGCAUUUUAUGUUAAGCAUAACAUUCCAGGUGUUGCAGGAUGCGUAGAUGGAACGCAUGUUCGAAUUAUUGCUCCGAAACAAAAUAGCUUUAUGAUAAUGAGUAAAAAAUUCGUUAUGUUGAUGCCUCUUAUUCUGGUGCCAACCAUGACGCCUUUUCUUGAAACACAAGCGAUCUGUGACAGCACUUCGAACAAGAGUAUUUGCGUGGUGUAGCUAACUUCUAGUUGUUAAAUUUUAUUUUACUAGGCGAUGCAGGAUAUCCCUUAGAGCCGUGGCUCUUGUCGCCUAAUAGACUUCCUCAGGAAGGUUCGCAGCAAAUGAGUUUUAAUAACAUUCACUUCAAGUGCCGAAAUAUUAUUGAACGCACUAAUGGCUUGCUGAAAAAUAGAUGGAAACGUCUUCUUGGUGCUGGAGAGAUGCAUUACACUCCAGAAAAAACCGCAAAAUUUAUAAAUGUUUGCAGUACCAAUUGCAGUACUGAUGAAAAUGUUUUUUCUGACUGCAGUACUUUUACUGACGAAGAUUUUUUCUUGAA